RNAcentral lists this small nucleolar RNA (121 nucleotides) under Amborella trichopoda. Its description in RNAcentral is "Small nucleolar RNA snoR104". It matches the Rfam family "Small nucleolar RNA snoR104". Lineage: Eukaryota; Viridiplantae; Streptophyta; Magnoliopsida; Amborellales; Amborellaceae. The record is from Rfam by way of RNAcentral.
GGGGGCCAUACUGAAGUUGAGAUGUUAACCCUGAUACAAUCUUCCUAUAUCAAUCUUGUAAUUUUCCUGCUUGUAGUUCUGAAAUAAAGUUCUACAAGUCUCAAAAUUACAGGACAUUUGA